Long non-coding RNA from Drosophila santomea, 723 nucleotides. RefSeq lists it as uncharacterized. The transcript is spliced from 3 exons. Lineage: Eukaryota; Metazoa; Arthropoda; Insecta; Diptera; Drosophilidae. The record is from RefSeq and is a predicted model, not a curated record.
AAUUUAAAGACAUUUGAUCUGUAAGUUUAAGGUCACGUCGAAAUUGAGUCUGAGAUUAAAAGACAUUUACAAGUGCCGAAAUCCGAAUUCUUUCUUCAUUUUCUAUUUUGAUGAUUUCAUUUUAAGUUUCUAGCCUCACUUUACGAAACACAACUGUGGCAAUACAGUCAUAGACCUUUUGGUGGAAGUAGGCAUAUUGUUUAUCCUGGCCGACUGCCGAGCCCCAGCUUCGUGUCGUUGUCCUUAUCAGGCGAGUGCUUUGGCAGUGGUUCUCUGCUGCCUUCGGGGUCCUUUAAACGAGCGGAUGGCUGUGCCGUCGCCUCAGUUCGUCGGCAGCCGUCCCACAGUGCGGAUGACCCAAAAUCGGACCGCGGAGCGCCGACCUUUGACAUCAGUUUUGCUCGCGUUCGCGAUUUUUGCCGCGCUGUCACCGCGGCUUCAAUCGCUUUCGAUCCGUUCUGUGUUUGUGCUGCAAUUUCGGGGCGAAAACAAAAACAAAGUAAACAAUAAUUCAAGAGUUACAUGACAGAAUAAAGUAAAGCCUCCGUCGUUUAUUAUCAAAUCAAUUGAAAUAUGUAUACUCGCCUUGCAGGAUGCAUCCACGGUAAUUACGACAUUCUUCUUUAAAGUGACACACCUCUUUCAAAUGUAACGACUCGAAUCCAGAUGAUAUAUUGCAACGAUGCCUCUCGUGCAGGCGCAUUAAGUUCGCUUAUUGCCGGC